RNAcentral lists this long non-coding RNA (716 nucleotides) under Mus caroli (Ryukyu mouse). Its description in RNAcentral is "lncRNA (MGP_CAROLIEiJ_G0002799.1)". The record is from RNAcentral. Lineage: Eukaryota; Metazoa; Chordata; Mammalia; Rodentia; Muridae.
UCAUUUCCCGGUAAAUUUCUACCCUUCAGCCCCACUUUUCUCCAGUCUCCACACCCACUCCUCCCCUUGACCUCAGUAACCUGGUUUCUUGAGGUGUGUGUGUGUGUGUGUGUGUGUGUGUGUGUGCACAAAAAGUAUUCAGGAUCAAGGAGGGCUGGGCGCAGUGAGACAGGCACCCAACCUUCCCCAGAUACUUCAGGUCUCCAGCUGCCAUGCUCCAGUGCAGACAGACAAUCGGAUGGGGCUUGAGGUAGAGAGGAAUAGGACAGUUCAGUGACGAAGACCCAGCUCAGCUCACAUUAGACUCUCCAGAGCCCUUCAUGUGCUCUGUCUUACGUCGGCUUGGCACGGGGAAGGCUUCUUGUCUCUGAAAGUAACUGCUUUGUCCAUUCCAACGAAGACCUGCAUCUUGGUGACGGGAAAUGGCUGGUUCUGUUUUCUUGCAGUCCAACUUUAGCAAGGAAGACGGCACUUAAAGCAGGGGGCAGAUUCCAGGCUGCACCCACGUAGGAGUCUCUGCUGAGCUCUGCCAAAGGCAAGUGAGCUGAGCAGAGUGACUAAGUCAACCAGAGAGAGCAGGGCACCAGCCAACCUUCCCCUCCUCGGCCCUUGUGUGAUGGGGAGCCCCCACUGCCAGUCCUGAGACCUGUACCUCAGAUCUCAGCAAUGAAAAAUCCUACUUGACCUAAAAGUAUAAAUAAAUGUGGGCUAAAUGU